GACGAACGCUGGCGGCGUGCCUAAUACAUGCAAGUCGAACGCACAGUUUAUACCGUAGCUUGCUACACCAUAGACUGUGAGUUGCGAACGGGUGAGUAACGCGUAGGUAACCUGCCUGGUAGCGGGGGAUAACUAUUGGAAACGAUAGCUAAUACCUCAUAAUAUUAAUUAUUGCAUGAUAAUUAAUUGAAGUGUGCAAUUGCAUCACUACCAGAUGGACCUGCGUUGUAUUAGCUAGUAGGUGAGGUAACGGCUCACCUAGGCGACGAUACAUAGCCGACCUGGGGAGGUGGACCGCCAAACUGGGACUGAGACACGGCCCAGACCUCUUAGGGAGGCAGCAGUAGGGAAUCCUCGGGAAAGGACGAAAGUCUGACCGAGCAACGCCGGGGGAGGGAAGAAGGGUGUCGGGUCGUAAAGCUCUGUUGUAAGGGAAGAAAGGGUGUUAGAGUGGAAAGUUCACACUGUGACGGUACCUUACCAGAAAGGGACGGCUAACUACGUG
RNAcentral lists this ribosomal RNA (505 nucleotides) under uncultured bacterium. RNAcentral describes it as "partial 16S ribosomal RNA". It matches the Rfam family "Bacterial small subunit ribosomal RNA", at positions 28 to 507 of the family's 1533-position model. The record is from RNAcentral.